RNAcentral lists this ribosomal RNA (521 nucleotides) under uncultured bacterium. RNAcentral describes it as "bacterial SSU rRNA". It matches the Rfam family "Bacterial small subunit ribosomal RNA", at positions 9 to 519 of the family's 1533-position model. The record is from RNAcentral.
GAGUUUGAUCGUGGCUCAGAUUGAACGCUGGCGGCAGGCCUAACACAUGCAAGUCGGGCGGUAGAGAGAAGCUUGCUUCUCUUGAGAGCGGCGGACGGGUGAGUAAUGCCUAGGAAUCUGCCUGGUAGUGGGGGAUAACGCUCGGAAACGGACGCUAAUACCGCAUACGUCCUACGGGAGAAAGCAGGGGACCUUCGGGCCUUGCGCUAUCAGAUGAGCCUAGGUCGGAUUAGCUAGUUGGUGAGGUAAUGGCUCACCAAGGCGACGAUCCGUAACUGGUCUGAGAGGAUGAUCAGUCACACUGGAACUGAGACACGGUCCAGACUCCUACGGGAGGCAGCAGUGGGGAAUAUUGGACAAUGGGCGAAAGCCUGAUCCAGCCAUGCCGCGUGUGUGAAGAAGGUCUUCGGAUUGUAAAGCACUUUAAGUUGGGAGGAAGGGCAGUAAAUUAAUAACUUUGCUGUUUUGUACGUUACCGUACAGAAUAAAGCACCGGCUAAACUCUGUGCCAGCCGCCGACC